This 357-nucleotide transfer-messenger RNA is filed under the name Longimicrobiales bacterium. It matches the Rfam family "transfer-messenger RNA". Rfam says of the family: Bacterial tmRNA, also known as 10Sa RNA or SsrA, is named for its dual tRNA and mRNA-like properties. Its role is to liberate the mRNA from a stalled ribosome. Lineage: Bacteria; Pseudomonadati; Gemmatimonadota; Longimicrobiia; Longimicrobiales. The record is from RNAcentral.
GGGGGCGUCACGGUUUCGACGUGCUUGGUGCAGUCGGAGCUGCGUGCCGAGGUCUCCGAACCCUCGUUAAUCCACGGAAAACUCAAUAGUUGCCAACACUGAACUGGCGAUGGCCGCCUAAGUAACCCUUAGGUAGCCCGCUCCCUGGGUCGCCCGCCCGAGGCGGCCCCUGCGAGCGUCGAUGAGUCGGGCUGGCUUCCGGUGGCGUCGCCGCACCGGAGGCGAGACAACAGGCGACUGGUCGCUGUGCAGGCCGUGCGCUGGCCGGCAGUCGACGAGACCAACAGCGCUCUACGCACGUAGAAGCUCGGAUGAAUCCAUUCGCGGACGCGGGUUCGACUCCCGCCGCCUCCACUU